Molecule: unclassified non-coding RNA, 200 nt
Filed under: Helotiales sp.
Lineage: Eukaryota; Fungi; Ascomycota; Leotiomycetes; Helotiales
Description: partial internal transcribed spacer 2
Source: RNAcentral
UUAAGUUCAGCGGGUAUCCCUACCUGAUCCGAGGUCAACCGUAGAAGGAGAUAGGCAUUGCCUGGCAGGCACCACCCGGGCCUCCAGAGCGCGAGAUGUACUACGCUUGGAGCCGGUGGGCGGCACCGCCACUAGAUUUCAGGCGGGCCAGAACGGCCGCGCCCAAGACAAGCAGAGCUUGAGGGUUGCAAUGACGCUCG